UACGGGGGGGGCAAGCGUUGUUCGGAAUUACUGGGCGUAAAGGGCUCGUAGGCGGCCAACUAAGUCAAACGUGAAAUCCCUCGGCUUAACCGGGGAACUGCGUCUGAUACUGGAUGGCUUGAGUUUGGGAGAGGGAUGCGGAAUUCCAGGUGUAGCGGUGAAAUGCGUAGAUAUCCGGAGGAACACCAGCGGCGAAGGCGGCAUCCUGGACUGGUACUGACGCUCAGGAGCGAAAGCGUGGGGAGCGAUCCGG
RNAcentral lists this ribosomal RNA (253 nucleotides) under uncultured bacterium. Its description in RNAcentral is "partial 16S ribosomal RNA". It matches the Rfam family "Bacterial small subunit ribosomal RNA", at positions 524 to 776 of the family's 1533-position model. The record is from RNAcentral.